UACAGAGGGGGCAAGCGUUGUUCGGAAUUACUGGGCGUAAAGGGCGCGUAGGCGGCCUGUUAAGUCGAACGUGAAAUCCCCGGGCUUAACCUGGGAAUGGCGAUGGAGACUGCGAGGCUAGAGUUUGGCAGAGGGGGGUAGAAUUCCACGUGUAGCAGUGAAAUGCGUAGAGAUGUGGAGGAACACCGAUGGCGAAGGCAGCCCCCUGGGUCAAAACUGACGCUCAUGCACGAAAGCGUGGGGAGCAAACAGG
RNAcentral lists this ribosomal RNA (253 nucleotides) under uncultured bacterium. RNAcentral's name for it is "partial 16S ribosomal RNA". It matches the Rfam family "Bacterial small subunit ribosomal RNA", at positions 524 to 776 of the family's 1533-position model. The record is from RNAcentral.